This 394-nucleotide ribosomal RNA is filed under the name uncultured bacterium. Its description in RNAcentral is "bacterial SSU rRNA". It matches the Rfam family "Bacterial small subunit ribosomal RNA", at positions 505 to 898 of the family's 1533-position model. The record is from RNAcentral.
GUGCCAGCAGCCGCGGUAAGACGAACCGUGCGAACGUUGUUCGGAUUCACUGGGCUUAAAGGGCGCGUAGGCGGCAGGUCAAGUCAGUGGUGAAAUCCUCCGGCUCAACCGGAGAACGGCCGCUGAGACUGGCCUGCUCGAGGAGGGUAGGGGCGGGCGGAACUUCCGGUGGAGCGGUGAAAUGCGUAGAGAUCGGAAGGAACGCCGGUGGCGAAAGCGGCCCGCUGGACCCUUUCUGACGCUGAGGCGCGAAAGCCAGGGGAGCAAACGGGAUUAGAUACCCCGGUAGUCCUGGCCCUAAACGUUGGGUACUAGGUUGGGGACUGGACAUGGGUUCCCAGCCGAAGCCAAAGUGCUAAGUACCCCGCCUGGGGAGUAUGGCCGCAAGGCUGAA